CCACACCGGAAGAUCACACCAUCCCCCACUGUUACAAGGGUGAAGAUCUGUUAGAUAUAAAAGUUAAGGUGGAAGAAGAAGAAGAGAGGUGUGUGAGUGAUGAUCAGCAGGCAAUGGAGGAGGAUGGAAUAAUUAAGCUAAUUCUAAAGGAAGACACUCCUACAGAGAUCCGCACAGCAGAUAAGAAGAUUUCCUGUACUGACUGCGGGAAGUGUUUCCAUACUAAAACCAAACUUAAUGUGCAUAAGAGAUCUCACACAGGGGAAAAACCGUAUUCCUGUCCUGAGUGUGGGAAAUGUUUUUCACAGAAUGCCAAUCU
This is a long non-coding RNA of Rana temporaria (common frog), 319 nucleotides long. RefSeq lists it as uncharacterized. Lineage: Eukaryota; Metazoa; Chordata; Amphibia; Anura; Ranidae. The transcript has 3 exons. The record is from RefSeq and is a predicted model, not a curated record.